CGACCGCUGAAUAAGCCGUGGAAUUUAUCAUUCGCUCUAGUGAUCGACGCGAUCGCAGCACUCAUAACAGGCUUGUUUUUUCUUCUACGAUCUCUUUUUUAAAAAAUUUGUCUUGAAACAUUUGGCUGGUUUCUUACAGUCAUUUCCUAACUUGAUUCAAGUAGCAGGAACAUUUGCCUUUCAGAAGGACUAACCUUAUCCCAUUUUCAAGCAAUAAAGGUUACUAUGGAUCGAUUUCUUUUAAUCACAUUUCUUUGUGUCAACUGGUCACAUCUUGCAUUCAGUCAGGCUGCUUUACCAUGGACCUAUAUUCCAAAUGCCUUACUAGGUA
Orbicella faveolata is the source of this 331-nucleotide long non-coding RNA. NCBI's taxonomy places the organism in Eukaryota, Metazoa, Cnidaria, Anthozoa, Scleractinia, Merulinidae. The record is from RefSeq and is a predicted model, not a curated record.